GCGAUGUAGCCAAGUGGUAAGGCAUGGGUCUGCAACACCCUGAGCAUCGGUUCAAAUCCGAUCGUCGC
This 68-nucleotide transfer RNA is filed under the name bovine gut metagenome. It matches the Rfam family "tRNA". From Rfam's summary of the family: Transfer RNA (tRNA) molecules are approximately 80 nucleotides in length. The record is from RNAcentral.